RNAcentral lists this ribosomal RNA (324 nucleotides) under uncultured eukaryote. RNAcentral's name for it is "partial 18S ribosomal RNA". It matches the Rfam family "Eukaryotic small subunit ribosomal RNA", at positions 1470 to 1796 of the family's 1831-position model. The record is from RNAcentral.
CCCUUAGAUGUUCUGGGCUGCACGCGCGCUACACUGAAGCUAUCAACACGUUUUCCCUCCCUGAGAAGGGCGGGUAACCUUUUGAAUCAGCUUCGUGGUAGGGAUCGGGGCUUGCAAUUGUUCCCCGUGAACCAGGAAUUCCUAGUAGACGCGAGUCAUAAGCUCGCAUCGAUUAAGUCCCUGCCCUUUGUACACACCGCCCGUCGCUACUACCGAUUGAACGUUUUAGUGAGGCAUUUGGACCGACGCAUCUCAGUUUAACCGCUGGUUUGUGUUGGAAAGACUUCCAAACUUGAGCGUUUUGAGGAAGUAAAAGUCGUAACA